Molecule: ribosomal RNA, 465 nt
Filed under: uncultured bacterium
Lineage: Bacteria
Description: partial 16S ribosomal RNA
Rfam family: Bacterial small subunit ribosomal RNA
Source: RNAcentral
CCUACGGGAGGCAGCAGUGGGGAAUAUUGCGCAAUGGGCGAAAGCCUGACGCAGCGACGCCGCGUGCGGGAUGACGGUCUUCGGAUCGUAAACCUCUGUCAGCAGGGAAGAACGGUCACUGUGCUAAUCAGCAGUGAAUUGACGGUACCUGCAAAGGAAGCACCGGCUAACUCCGUGCCAGCAGCCGCGGUAAUACGGAGGGUGCGAGCGUUAAUCGGAAUUACUGGGCGUAAAGCGCUCGUAGGCGGUAUGUCAAGUCAAGGGUGAAAUCCCCGCGCUCAACGUGGGAACUGCCUUUGAAACUGGCAAACUGGAGUGUGUGAGAGGAUAGUGGAAUGCCAGGUGUAGGAGUGAAAUGCGUAGAUAUCUGGAGGAACAUCAGUAGCGAAGGCGACUAUCUGGCACAUAACUGACGCUGAGGAGCGAAAGCGUGGGUAGCAAACAGGAUUAGAUACCCCAGUAGUC